GGAAACCACGCCAUCUAGUUAACGUAUAAGCGGCGGCAACGGCCCGAAAGGAGCAGCCCCACACCCCGCCCCGCUCCCAGGAAAGCGCGUUCAGCUUUCGACUGCUCGUGAUCCCUGCUGGGGGAAAGCUGACUGAAGUGAGGUUUCCAAACUGUGUGUGCAAAUAAUAGCAUCUGAAGCCUUUCUUACCCUCCUUAAAAGAAGGUAGGA
Molecule: non-coding RNA, 210 nt
Organism: Meleagris gallopavo (turkey)
Lineage: Eukaryota; Metazoa; Chordata; Aves; Galliformes; Phasianidae
Source: RefSeq, a predicted model, not a curated record